GACGAACGCUGGCGGCGCGCCUAAUACAUGCAAGUCGAGCGAGAAACUCGGGGCUUGCCCCGGGUGGACAGCGGCGAACGGGUGAGGAACACGUGAGAAACCUGCCCCGAAGACCGGGAUAACACCGGGAAACCGGUGCUAAUACCGGAUGCCCUCACCGGACCGCAUGAUCCGGUGAGGAAAUGGAUUCCGCUUCGGGAUGGUCUCGCGGCCUAUCAGCUUGUUGGUGGGGUAACGGCCUACCAAGGCUUCGACGGGUAGCUGGUCUGA
This 270-nucleotide ribosomal RNA is filed under the name uncultured bacterium. Its description in RNAcentral is "partial 16S ribosomal RNA". It matches the Rfam family "Bacterial small subunit ribosomal RNA", at positions 28 to 295 of the family's 1533-position model. The record is from RNAcentral.